Capsella rubella is the source of this 3341-nucleotide RNA transcript. It is a transcript of the gene named coatomer subunit beta'-2, with no coding region annotated. The record is from RefSeq and is a predicted model, not a curated record. The transcript is spliced from 25 exons. Lineage: Eukaryota; Viridiplantae; Streptophyta; Magnoliopsida; Brassicales; Brassicaceae.
UCUAAUUUUUAAGUUUUUUGUUUUUCUUCAUCACACCGAGCUUAAACAUCGUUUGGUUCUUGGAUCUUCCGAUUUCCAGAUUUAAGCCGAUAAUACGAGAUCCGAAGGGCUUACUAGCCUUUCUCCGGUUAAUCUGUAAACAUGCCUCUCAGACUCGAGAUCAAGAAAAAACUAGCUCAAAGGUCCGAGAGAGUAAAAUCUGUGGAUCUACAUCCUACAGAGCCAUGGAUUCUUGCAAGUUUGUAUUCUGGAACCUUGUGUAUUUGGAACUACCAGACACAGGUGAUGGCAAAAUCCUUUGAGGUGACUGAAUUACCAGUUCGGUCGGCCAAGUUUAUAGCGCGUAAGCAAUGGGUUGUGGCAGGAGCUGAUGAUAUGUAUAUCCGUGUAUACAACUACAAUACCAUGGACAAGGUUAAAGUGUUUGAAGCUCAUUCAGACUACAUUAGGUGUGUGGCUGUUCAUCCAACGCUUCCAUAUGUGCUGUCAUCUUCUGAUGAUAUGCUCAUAAAGCUUUGGGACUGGGAAAAGGGUUGGGCUUGCACUCAGAUAUUCGAGGGACACUCGCACUAUGUGAUGCAGGUCACAUUUAAUCCAAAAGACACCAACACUUUUGCCAGUGCAUCGCUUGAUCGUACCAUAAAGAUUUGGAAUCUUGGUUCCCCAGACCCAAAUUUUACAUUGGACGCCCAUCAGAAAGGAGUAAAUUGUGUAGAUUAUUUCACCGGUGGUGAUAAGCCCUAUUUAAUUACCGGCUCUGAUGAUCACACUGCUAAGGUCUGGGACUAUCAAACAAAGAGUUGUGUCCAGACCCUGGAAGGGCACACACACAAUGUAUCUGCAGUAUGUUUCCAUCCAGAGCUUCCAAUUAUAAUCACAGGUUCUGAAGAUGGCACUGUUCGCAUUUGGCAUGCAACUACAUACAGGCUAGAGAACACGUUGAAUUAUGGCCUCGAGAGAGUUUGGGCAAUAGGUUACAUUAAAAGUUCACGACGGGUUGUGAUUGGUUAUGAUGAAGGAACCAUCAUGGUUAAACUUGGACGAGAAAUUCCUGUCGCUAGCAUGGACAAUACCGGGAAAAUUAUAUGGGCUAAGCAUAAUGAAAUUCAAACUGCAAACAUCAAAAGUCUUGGUGCGGAUUACGAGGUUACUGAUGGAGAGAGGUUGCCCUUGAGUGUUAAAGAGUUGGGGACCUGUGAUCUUUAUCCACAAAGCUUGAAGCACCACCCUAAUGGGAGGUCUGUUGUAGUCUGUGGUGAUGGGGAGUAUAUAAUCUACACAGCUUUGGCUUGGAGAAAUAGGUCAUUUGGUUCUGGACUGGAAUUCGUUUGGUCGUCCGAGGGGGAGUGUGCGGUUAGAGAAAGCUCAUCAAAGAUUAAAUUAUUUAACAAAAAUUUCCAGGAAAAGAGGAGUAUCCGCCCUACUUUUUCAGCUGAGAAGAUCUUUGGAGGAACCUUGUUAGCUAUGUGUUCAAGUGAUUUCAUCUGCUUUUAUGAUUGGGCUGAAUGUAGGCUGAUUCAACGUAUUGACGUCACUGUAAAGAAUCUAUAUUGGGCUGACAGUGGUGACUUAGUAGCCAUUGCUAGUGACACAUCAUUCUACAUCUUGAAAUACAACCGCGACUUAGUUUCCUCACAUUUUGAUAGCGGAAAAUCUACUGAGGAUGAAGGUGUUGAGGAUGCUUUUGAGGUUCUUCAUGAAAAUGAUGAACGUGUUAGGACAGGUAUAUGGGUUGGUGACUGUUUCAUUUACAACAACUCUUCCUGGAAGCUUAACUACUGUGUUGGAGGCGAGGUAACCACAAUGUAUCAUUUGGAUCGCCCAAUGUAUUUGUUGGGCUAUCUUGCAAGUCAAAGUCGGGUGUUCUUGGUUGACAAAGAAUUCAAUGUUAUAGGAUACACCUUGCUACUAAGCCUGAUUGAGUACAAGACUCUUGUGAUGCGGGGUGAUUUAGACAAAGCCAGUGAAAUCUUACCUACAAUUCCUAAAGAUCAGCAUAACAGUGUUGCUCAUUUCUUGGAGUCACGGGGAAUGAUUGAAGAUGCUCUGGAAAUUGCAACAGAUCCUGACUACAGAUUUGAUUUGGCCAUACAACUCGGUAGACUUGAAAUUGCACAGGAAAUCGCCGUAGAGGCACAGAGUGAAUCUAAGUGGAAGCAAUUAGGAGAGUUAGCCAUGUCCUCUGGAAAGCUGCAAAUGGCAGAGGAAUGUAUGAAGUAUGCGAUGGAUUUAAGUGGUCUGUUACUGCUUUAUUCUUCUCUGGGAGAUGCUGAAGGUGUGACAAAUCUAGCAACACUUGCUAAAGAACAAGGGAAGAACAAUGUCGCCUUUCUUUGCCUAUUCAUGCUGGGUAAACUGGAAGAUUGUUUGCAGUUAUUGGUGGAGAGCAACCGGAUACCAGAAGCUGCUCUGAUGGCCCGAUCAUAUCUUCCAAGCAAAGUUUCUGAGAUAGUAGCUCUUUGGAGGAAAGAUCUCAGCAAGGUUAAUUCAAAAGCAGCAGAAUCUUUGGCUGAUCCUGAGGAGUACCCAAAUCUUUUUGAAGAUUGGCAAGUUGCUCUUUCUGUUGAAGCUAGAGCUGUAGAGACAAGGGGAGCUUACACAGGUGCAGAAAAUUAUCCUAGCCAUGCUGAUAAAUCUUCCAUGACCCUCGUGGAAGCCUUUAGAAACUUGCAGGUUGAGGAAGAGGAAUCACUUGAAAAUGGAGAUGUCGAACACGAGGAGUUAAUAGCAGAAGAAAAUGGAAAUGAACAAAGGAAUGAGGAGGAUGUAGAGGAGCAUCAUGAAGAAAAAGAAGCGGAAGAAGAAGAAGAAGGAAAUGUUGAUGGAGAUUCUACGGAUGGAGCUGUACUUGUUAACGGAAGUGAGGCUGACGAAGAGUGGGGUACGAAUAAUGAAGGAAAUCCAUCAGCCUAAUUGCAAGUCGGUCAAGGCCAAUGUUGAAAAGUCUGAAAAUUUUGUCUCUGUGCUUACACCCCGUCAGUAGAGUUUACAGUUUAUGGGAAUGGCGAAAGUUCUAGGAACAAUGGAGAGGUGAGAGAACUUUCGUUCUUUUUUUUUCCUCCUUAUUGACGAUUCAACGGUCAAAUCCGAGCAGCAUUGGGGAACCACAUUUUGAAACCAUUUGUAAUAAAAGUUUGAAUUGCUUAAGAAACAUUUAAAAUCCGGGCAGGACUUUGCUGGAGAGACUGUGGAGGAUUUAGAUGAAAUAGAGAGGCUGGUGAGUUUAAAAGGAAGUGUGGUCGUUCCUUUUUGUGUCUUUUGCACUCACAGGGAGAUUUUAUUAUUAUUAUCAUAUGGUUUUGGUUUUGUUUUACUAAUCUGAUUGUUUUUCUUUUCUUCUC